ACAGACUGAUCAAUCACAGGGCCCUGCAAACUGAGGCUACUUGUGGGAGUCGCUUCACCAAUUCUUGAGGGCUUCCAAGUGGCAGAACGAAGUGCUUGUUUGGUAAUGUAUAUAAUGCUUGCUGUUUAGAAUAAAAUACUUAAUCUUCUCACUCACUUGUGUUUGUAUUGCCUCUGAUUCUCAUUUUAAAUGAACCACCUUGCAUUUGGCAAGACACCUUGUCAGGGGCGAUAGGAGUUUCUAGCCCAGCAAAAAUUGGGGAACCACAGACUGCCAUGGAAUUUUCACAAUGAAUUGGGUUUUUUGGUGUGUUUUUUUAAAUGUAAACUGAUGUGGAAAUGUGGAGAAUGGAAUUUAAGAUUGGAAAAAUGAGAAACCGAGAUUGACAUAUUCACCCAUCCCUUGUGAUUAUCACUACCAUGCCGCCAUCCUCCCCUUGAUGUCCUCCUAUCUCCAAUCACCCAAUGGGUGGUGCAAAGCUGAGCAACUGCCCUCCAGGCACCUGCGGAUCUUCACAUCAUUGCUAUCCCCAUUAUACUUUUUCCAAGAAAAGCUGUAAUUUGUGUUUACGUCCAGUUUAACAAUCCAGUCCGGGUGGCUGCAUCCUAGUACGCCUUGAAGCUUCCCUUGUAGUUUUGAAGAGACAACAGCAUCCUGUCCUGUCUCUUGUUAAAUGGCUGUCAUGUUAUUUAUUUUUAGAGGUUGAAGUUAGCCUCAUGGAUAGAUGGAAGCAGUUUGGGAUUCUUAGCAUUUGUGCAGAGCCUUUUACUAUCUUCACACAAGUUGGAUUAAGCCUCCUGCUUGAGGAGCUGUCAGCCUGAAUGCCCUCAGAAAUUAAGCUUUCACAGUUUUCCAUCUGGGUCUUGGAUGAAGCUGAAAAAACUGUUUCAAAUUGCCUGUACCAUUUACUUAGAGAGAAAAUUAAAGUCAUACACACACCUGCUAAAUGGUUAUAUUAGAGUCUUUCCAGAUGAUAAAAAGCUGAUAACCUCCCCCCGCCUCAAAAAAACAAAGUUUUUUUACUAAAAAAAAGAGGAAAAAACAACAACCGACAUUUUCCUGAUCAAGUGCAUAGCAGCAGGAUAUCCUAUUCUACGUAAUGAACAGUGGGCAGGGGAAGAACCUAAGCACUACCUUAAAAGGUAAAGGACCCCUGAUAGUUAAGUCCAGUCGCGAACGACUCUGGAGUUGUGGUGCUCAUCUUGCUUUAUUGGCCGAGGGAGCCGGCAUAUGUCCGCAGACAGUUUUUUCUGGGUCAUGUGGCCAGCAUGACUAAGCCACUUCUGGUGAACCAGAGCAGUGCACGGAAACGCUGUUUACCUUCCCGCCGGAGUACUACCUAUUUAUCUACUUGCACUUGGACGUACUUUCGAACUGCUAGGUGGGCAGGAGCAGGGACUGAGUAAUGGGAGCUCACCCUGUCGCAGGGUUUAGAACCGCUGACCUUCCAAUCGGCAAGCCCUAGGCUCUGGUUUAGACCACAGCGCCACCCAAUUAAAUGAAGAGAAAUGCUCCAAAGAGUGGACAGGAUUAAAACAAAGCAUUAUAAAAGUAAAGCAAAGGGAGAACAGAAAUUGGUGGGAUGCUAUGGGAAGGGCCAGCCAAAGGCAUUGUGUUGCUUGAAGCAAAUGACAAGACAACACAGUCCACCUGCCUCAUUCCAUGUCCAAAGCUGACCACACUGGCAACUGAAUCUUAUUUUGACACUGGCAAUGGGGCACUCAUCCACCACUGCACUUGAGGGCAGAAUUCUAGCUUAGAGGGUACAGGGCAGAUCAUGUGUGUCAUGCACAGCUCUGUUUCUGUUGCUCAGCAUCUGCUGCCUGAGGUGGCUGCCUCUCUUUGUCUAAUAGUAGGACUGGUCCUGGCCAGGGGAGUAGACUUCCACAUAGCCAAUACUCUCCCACCCCACUUGUGUUUAAAAUGGUUACAUGAGUCAGGUUGUGUCAGUGAUUGUAUCUGGUUAUCUGUGUCAGGGGAAGGGCUGGUGGACACAGUCCCACUCUCCCUCCCUCAGCAUUUACUGCAUGCAUGGGGGGAGGGGGCCUAUUCUUGAGCACAGCCUUUCUAUGAAUUGUGUCUUCUGCCAUGGAUACAUUGAUUGCUCUUGAGUCUAGUCACCACCUCAGAUGUAAACCAGUGUUUUGCUGUCCACUGUAUUUAUAACCUGGGGGAGGUAUAUUUUACCUCAGACUGGCAAGGGGGAAAAUACCCUGAGCUAGUCUUGGCCCUUGGGGGGGGGGGAUAUAUUUUGUUACAAAUAGCCUUUGACAACUCUAGGUUCAGUUUCUUCCUUUUAAAAAAAGCUUUUGCCAAAGACCUUGUGGAGUGCCCGAUUCCAUUCAUAUUCUCCAACAGGGUUUAUUUCACUUGGGUGAUUAUCACAUAACCAUCUUCUAUGUGCAACGGAAUUAACAGAGAUUCCAUUUGUUGAAAUCAUAUGGAGACUGCAACUGUACUCUGCCUUAUUACCAAAUGAGUACAGCAUGCCCUUCAAUAAUUCUCUAAACUCUCAAAUGCCUUGGAAAUAAUAUGCUGGAAUAUUACUGAACUGUGACUGAAGCACCAUUUGUGCUAAAUGUGACAGUGCACAAAUGAUAUUCCUCAAUAAAAGUUCAAACUACAUUAAUCUUUCACAGAGGUUCAUUGACCAGGAAGAUGCCUUAGAUACAAAAUAAACUGGGGACGGCCCCUUUGAAAUUACUUCUACACAUUUUUGCUGUGUCUGUUUUUCAGAAUCAUAUACAUUAAUUUCUCCCUUGUAUGCAUAAUUUUAGCAUGGGACAUUCUAAAAAGCAAUAAAUUAUAUUGUUUCUACAUCAGUAUUAGCAAAAACAUUAGGUCUCUGUUUGUAAUACAGAAAUCCCUCUUGGAUCAUGCUAUCAUUAAAUAUAAUGUGUAAUAGUCGGCAAUGUAAUAUACUUCUUAUUUUCAUUCCUUUGGGAAGAGCAGACAUAACUCACUAGCAGAUUUGCUCUCCUUGGCUAGAUUGAGUUACAACCAUUCCUAGCACAGGGGUGGGGGGAGAGAAGGGUUUAUUGUGCUUGCAGUUAGACAUUCUUUCUUAUGUUUGCUAUACAACCCCCUAGCAUCACACAUAGUGGUCUUCCUACACUAGUUUUAGGAGAAAAUACGUACUCAACGCAAGAAUACAUAUUAUAAAAGGGAAUAAGUGCAAACAGUCUGUGCAAUCUGUAAUGUCUGAAGCCUGGCAAAAUAUUCACCACUUGUGUUUGCUAUGCACUUCUUUUCCUUUAUGGAAAUGAUACAUGUGGUGACAAUGACCAUAUAAGUUCCUUAGGGAUAAAUAAGCUGUUUCCUGACAUUGGCAAUGGUGUGUGUGCAUACAAUUUCUUGAACAUGUCAACAGCCUGCAGUCUCUGAAAAUAUGGACAUAUCUGCAAUUGAUUACCCAAUGCUGGUGCACGUUUUUAACACUGGGCUAACAGUAUAGUAAGCUUGUGUUUAAGGCCUAUCGAUAAAAAGUGUUUAAGGCCUAUCAAUAGCCAUGAAGCAUUGAAGAACAAUGUGUUCCAUACAAACUCACCCAGUUUUGGAUGGAAGAAGCAUUGCUCAGGGGUGGAUUACAUGCUUUGCAUACACAAGGUCCUGUCCUUGACCUCACUAGUUAAAUGUUCAGGGAGCAGAUGGUGGGCAAGUUCCCCACCCAUGCUGCAGCUAAUUCCCUUGUGCCAAUGGAAAACUUUAUUUUGUGACUUAUUAACCUCAUUAAUUUACAUUUAAAGCGGUAUCACACCACUUGAAGCAGUCAUGGCUUCCACAAAAACAUCUUGGGAACUGUAGUUUGUCAAGGAUGCAGAGAGUGUUAGCCAACUCCUAUUCCCCUCACAGAGCGUCUUCCCAGGAAACUGGAAAUUGUAGUUCUUUGAGGAGAACAGGGGUCUCCUAACAACUCUCAGUACCCUACCACUUCCAGGGUUAUUUGAGGCAAAGCCAUGAUGGUUAAAAGUGGUAUGAUAUGGUAUUUAAUGGAUAGUGCAGAUAUACUGAUGUUAUAUAAAAUGUUUAACCCUGAAUGAGAUAGAGCUAGAGAGAGAGAGAGAGAAAGAGAAAUUAACGGAAGAGCAACUCUUUCAGGAAGUCAACUGACUAGGGAUAUUCAGCUGCUCCUGAUAAAGAUGAGUAACAAUAUUUUUGUUCCCUCAUGAGCUUUACUCAUGGAAUGUUUCUAGUCAAAUGCAGCACAAUACAUUCCUUCCUACACUCUAUAUUAUGAGCUGUAUUGGGUGAGAAAAUUAUUAAUAUGCAGGUGGGUGGUAAGUAAAUAUUUAACAAUAUUUGUCUUGAUGAGCCUUGCAUGAAAAUGAAAUAUUUGAUCUGCGAUAUUACUUAAUUUCCUGCAUUCCUCUCCUUUACUACACACCUAGGCCUAAAGGGAUUUUGGACUUGUGUUCCUCGAGCAGCAGCUUCUCAGGCCACAUAGGACAUCAGUUUUGAAACGAUGAAUGAUCCUUCAAAUAUAGUUUGUGAUUUGGCAUUGGGAGCCGCCUCCUGUUGAAAGACAACUUUCAAAAGAAUAUUCUAUGUUAAGGACUUGGAUUGAAUGGUGUGAGGAGUAACACUUCCACUUAUGUGGGUGGUUUCCUCAUAUCGGACAGUUUUCUAUCAAGGAGUCCCUUCUGCCUCAUCCAAUACCAUUUCCAUGCCUAUUGGGGGAAGCUUUGGAGGUAAGUGGGAGCAAUGUAGGGACUGCAACAGGAAGGAGGAGGCAAGAAAAGUUCAUUGUGUGAGCAGAACUACACUUAGGAGGCUACCACUGGUACAUCAACCUAGUAUAUUCUACGGCUAUGCUGAGUACAAUGGCUUUGAUGAUUUCUGAUGAGUUUGUUCCCCUUGCCCUGCCUCCAAAAAGGACUGAACCAAGGGCCUUCUGAAGGCAAAACAUGUGUGCUACCAUGUCUAUGCCUUCAUUUUUAUGCAGUUUUAUGGGCUCAAGCCAGACCACAGAGGAACAUCACUAAAAAGACUGGAGAACAUCCUUUUAGAAGGACUACAAAACACGAUUGUGUUUAUCCACAUUUUUCUACCCUCUUCUCCAAAUGAAAUAUUUAUGAUGAUGAUAAUUAUAAUAAAUCCCUGCUUCAGUUAGCUAAAUGCUGUUCCUCCAGAUGUUGUUGAACCAACUCCCAUCAUCCCAAGCCAGCAUGACUACUUUUCAGUCCAACAACAUCAGGAGCACCACAGAUACCACACCUCUGCUUUAGAGCCUUCUCCUCCUUUCUAAGCAAAACUGUCAUUGCUAUUCUGUACCAUUCUGUGCAUCCCUACCCACAGGUUAGAAUGAAUCUUGACACUUAUAUGGGGCCGAUGUGGACAACAGAGAUAGUGAUACUGUUUUUGGAGUAAGUAAGAUGACACUAAGCUAAGUAUUUUGAAACCUUGGGCAUGCCAGCUUUCCUGGCAUGAAUUUUCUAAGGAGAUGCAGCCCGUGGUGAUGUCUCCCUCCCUCGAAGAAGAACAAAAAACCCAGGAGGAAUGAUCCUUCAACCAAAUGAUUCUUGUAAACAGUCUUUGAAUAAAAGAAGCAAAUUCCAUCUGCCAUUCUACCUCCCACGAAAUCGAAAAAAGAGGCUACAUUUCUCCAACUGAGCGGAAGUCUCUGAUUGCUAAGCAUGAGGUCUAAUUGAUCAUAGUGGAACAUGGGGCUGAAUUCUUUGCUUUUGGAAACCGCUGGCAUAGAUUUAAGUGCAGGAUGGGGGGCAUGAAACCAUGAAUGAUUUAUUGGUGAGCUCUAGAUCAUCUCUCAGAAGGUGAGUUCAACGGCUUCACUUAAAAGAUUAACCACCUAAUCCUAGAACAGCAAUUACAGCAAGAGCAACCUUAUUAGGCAAAACACAUUACAUAAUUUAGAGUGCUAACUCUAUUGAUAAAUCUAUUCAGCAAAGCUGAACUUGUGGCACACAGGCAAGUGGUUAACCCUUUUCAUCUUUUGACGAUCAUGAAUCAGUGGCCUGGUGCAUUAGUGAAUUUCCAUGUGAUGUGUUUUGCAAAUUGCAUUUGCAAAUGCACAUUUCCCCUGUAUAUGUGUCACAUCUGUGAUGUUUUGUGUGUGUGCAUGCAUUCAAAGUGUUUCCCAUCUAUAUUGCAUUAAUACAAUGAUCUUCGCAAGGAACCAUAAAAAUUCUAGGUAAAACAACAAUGAUGGUCUUGGUCUAUCUACUCCUUGCAUUAAGAGGGAAGUGAAGAAGGCAAAACUGAGGGAGGGUAGGCAUGCUUGGGAAUGUUUUAGGCACAAGUGGCAGGUGAUUAAUUGUUAUUGACAUUUCUUUCCUGUCCUUACUUGCAAAGAAGUUCAGGGUGGCAGAGCAGCAAAAGGAUGAAAUAAAAAGUAUAAUAAAAAUAUUUUAAAAGAACUUCUAUUUUUUUUUAAAUGAUAUUUAUUAAAGUUUCCAAUUAAAACAGAACACAUCUGUAAAAGAGAAUU
Molecule: non-coding RNA, 6445 nt
Organism: Podarcis lilfordi (Lilford's wall lizard)
Lineage: Eukaryota; Metazoa; Chordata; Lepidosauria; Squamata; Lacertidae
Source: the annotation of a GenBank genome assembly